Molecule: long non-coding RNA, 219 nt
Filed under: Mytilus galloprovincialis (Mediterranean mussel)
Lineage: Eukaryota; Metazoa; Mollusca; Bivalvia; Mytilida; Mytilidae
Source: RNAcentral
CUAUUGAUGAGAAUUUUCAAUAACGGGAACGGUAUCUCAUUCUUGGUAACCUGUUAGCUUACGGGGGCUUCGCCACGUUGAACCAACUACACAGGCAAAAUUUGCUCACAUGAAUUUCACAUGAAUCUUACAUGAAAUUCACAUGAAAAAUUUCACGUGAGAUUCACCUCAAUCGAGCUUAUACAUGAAACUCACGUGGAAAUUUUCAUGUGAAUUUCA